UCCGGUUUGUCACCGGCAGUCCCAUUAGAGUGCCCAACUGAAUGUGGCAACUAAUGGCAAGGGUUGCGCUCGUUGCGGGACUUAACCCAACAUCUCACGACACGAGCUGACGACAGCCAUGCAGCACCUGUGUCCAGGUUCCCUUUCGGGCACCCCCCAAUCUCUCGGGGGUUCCGACCAUGUCAAGGGUAGGUAAGGUUUUUCGCGUUGCAUCGAAUUAAUCCACAUCAUCCACCGCUUGUGCGGGUCCCCGUCAAUUCCUUUGAGUUUUAAUCUUGCGACCGUACUCCCCAGGCGGUCAACUUCACGCGUUAGCUUCGUUACCAAGGAAUUACUUCCCCGACAACCAGUUGACAUCGUUUAGGGCGUGGACUAC
Molecule: unclassified non-coding RNA, 376 nt
Filed under: uncultured Gammaproteobacteria bacterium
Lineage: Bacteria; Pseudomonadati; Pseudomonadota; Gammaproteobacteria
Description: contains 16S-23S intergenic spacer region
Source: RNAcentral